Molecule: small nuclear RNA, 106 nt
Filed under: Chlorocebus sabaeus (green monkey)
Lineage: Eukaryota; Metazoa; Chordata; Mammalia; Primates; Cercopithecidae
Source: RNAcentral
CUCUUACUUCAGCAACACAUAGACUAAAAUUGGAACGAUACAGAGAAAAUUAGCAUGGCCCCUGCCCAAGGAUGACACGCAAAUUCGUGAAGCAUUCCAUAUUUAA